GUGCUCCCUUCGGCAGCACAUAUAGUAAAAUUGGAACGAUACAGAGAUUAGCAUGGCCCCUGUGCAAGGAUGACACGCAAGUGGAAAGAACAAGUUGGGAAAUGU
Herpailurus yagouaroundi (jaguarundi) is the source of this 105-nucleotide small nuclear RNA. Lineage: Eukaryota; Metazoa; Chordata; Mammalia; Carnivora; Felidae. The record is from RefSeq and is a predicted model, not a curated record.